CUUGUAUCAAUGCUUUCAAUAAUACUUGUAUCAUAUUUGAUACUUUGUCAAUUAUUAUAUUUGAUACAAGUAUUUUUUGGUUUACAUGCAAAAAAUCUCAGUCUCAAUUAUUUAUGUUGGAUUAAUAUCACUGACUUCAUGACCUUCCACCUGCAGUUGUCAGAUACAGUACUCCCUUUUCAAUUUAUUUGUUUCUGUAAUCAACCCCCACUCCUGCGUCCGGUUGGAUCAUCCCUCUCUGGUAUGUACAGUCAGGUCGUUUGGUUGUGUUCAUCUAUAUCCUAGCUUUUGUACUUUUAUAAGUGUUAUAAUAAAUAGAUCGG
Molecule: long non-coding RNA, 323 nt
Filed under: Androctonus crassicauda
Lineage: Eukaryota; Metazoa; Arthropoda; Arachnida; Scorpiones; Buthidae
Source: RNAcentral